RNAcentral lists this ribosomal RNA (466 nucleotides) under uncultured bacterium. RNAcentral's name for it is "partial 16S ribosomal RNA". It matches the Rfam family "Bacterial small subunit ribosomal RNA", at positions 28 to 507 of the family's 1533-position model. The record is from RNAcentral.
GAUGAACGCUGGCGGCGUGCUUAACACAUGCAAGUCGAACGAUGAAGCCCAGCUUGCUGGGUGGAUUAGUGGCGAACGGGUGAGUAACACGUGAGUAACCUGCCCUUAACUCUGGGAUAAGCCUGGGAAACUGGGUCUAAUACCGGAUAGGAGCGUCCACCGCAUGGUGGGUGUUGGAAAGAUUUAUCGGUUUUGGAUGGACUCGCGGCCUAUCAGCUUGUUGGUGAGGUAAUGGCUCACCAAGGCGACGACGGGUAGCCGGACUGAGAGGGUGACAGGCGACACUGAGUCCGACGGGCGGCAGAGGCUGCUAAUGGAGGCAGAAGUGGGGAAGACUGCACAAUGCGCGCCAGCUUGAUGCAGAGACGCCGCGUGAUGUAUGACGGUCUUCUGGUUGUAGAACUCCUUCAGUAGGGAACCCGCGAGUUCGAAGGUAACUGAAGAAGAAGGCACGGCUUACUACGGU